Octodon degus (degu) is the source of this 132-nucleotide small nucleolar RNA. NCBI's taxonomy places the organism in Eukaryota, Metazoa, Chordata, Mammalia, Rodentia, Octodontidae. The record is from Ensembl.
AGCCUCAUUCUGGAUUAGGAGGGGUACUGUUGACUGGUGUCCAGAAUUGGUCAGUGUGGCUAACAUUGAGACACACAUCAUGCUUCCAUCACAGUAAGCAUUUACAGUGGUGACAAGAGGCCUGUAACAUUU